This 524-nucleotide ribosomal RNA is filed under the name uncultured bacterium. Its description in RNAcentral is "partial 16S ribosomal RNA". It matches the Rfam family "Bacterial small subunit ribosomal RNA", at positions 355 to 895 of the family's 1533-position model. The record is from RNAcentral.
UGGGGAAUAUUGCACAAUGGGCGAAAGCCUGAUGCAGCAACGCCGCGUGAGUGAUGAAGGCCUUCGGGUUGUAAAGCUCUGUCUUUUGGGACGAUAAUGACGGUACCAAAGGAGGAAGCCACGGCUAACUACGUGCCAGCAGCCGCGGUAAUACGUAGGUGGCAAGCGUUGUCCGGAUUUACUGGGCGUAAAGGAUGCGUAGGCGGAUUUUUAAGUGAGAUGUGAAAUACCCGGGCUUAACUUGGGUGCUGCAUUUCAAACUGGGAAUCUAGAGUGCGGGAGGGGAGAAUGGAAUUCCUAGUGUAGCGGUGAAAUGCGUAGAGAUUAGGAAGAACACCAGUGGCGAAGGCGAUUCUCUGGACCGUAACUGACGCUGAGGCAUGAAAGCGUGGGUAGCAAACAGGAUUAGAUACCCUGGUAGUCCACGCCGUAAACGAUGAGUACUAGGUGUAGGAGGUAUCGACCCCUUCUGUGCCGCAGUUAACACAAUAAGUACUCCGCCUGGGAAGUACGAUCGCAAGAUU